This 274-nucleotide ribosomal RNA is filed under the name uncultured bacterium. Its description in RNAcentral is "partial 16S ribosomal RNA". It matches the Rfam family "Archaeal small subunit ribosomal RNA", at positions 473 to 747 of the family's 1478-position model. The record is from RNAcentral.
AAACCAGCACCUCAAGUGGUCAGGAUGAUUAUUGGGCCUAAAGCAUCCGUAGCCGGCUCUGUAAGUUUUCGGUUAAAUCUGUACGCUUAACGUACAGGCUGCCGGAAAUACUGCAGAGCUAGGGAGUGGGAGAGGUAGACGGUACUCUGGAGGAAGUGGUAAAAUGCUUUGAUCUCUAGAUGACCACCUGUGGCGAAGGCGGUCUACCAGAACACGUCCGACGGUGAGGGAUGAAAGCUGGGGGAGCAAACCGGAUUAGAAACCCGGGUAGUCC